CGAACAGCCAUCAAAAUACUGAUUCAAAAUACACAUCUUUCACUGGACACACAAAUGGGUGCGCGCAGCAAAAUGCAGCCCUAAUGGCGAAUGUGUGCGAACGUUCACCGAGGGAAGAGGUAUGGGACGACAGCUGGCAUGGCAUCCAGACGGUAAUCUGGUGGCUUUAGCAUUAAGUUGUAACCGCUUUAAGAUAUUUGACAUAGCUGAAGGCGAACUAAUACAGUGCAUUCGUCGCCGGAGAAUGAUGUUGCAUUUCACCCAAGUGGAAAUUUCUUGGUGACUGGCGGCGAUGACGAUACAAUAAGAUUGCUUGAUUUAUUAGAAGUUGCUCGUUUGGAAAUCUAAUUUGCAUACAUUUGAUGCCAAUAGCUCCCGCAACAAACAAGCCAGUUCUCAAAGAGUCCAAAUUGAUUUUAGUCAUGCAACCGC
Rhagoletis zephyria (snowberry fruit fly) is the source of this 432-nucleotide long non-coding RNA. RefSeq lists it as uncharacterized. The record is from RefSeq and is a predicted model, not a curated record. Lineage: Eukaryota; Metazoa; Arthropoda; Insecta; Diptera; Tephritidae.